This 481-nucleotide ribosomal RNA is filed under the name uncultured bacterium. RNAcentral's name for it is "bacterial SSU rRNA". It matches the Rfam family "Bacterial small subunit ribosomal RNA", at positions 355 to 827 of the family's 1533-position model. The record is from RNAcentral.
UGGGGAAUUUUGGACAAUGGGGGAAACCCUGAUCCAGCCAUUCCGCGUGAGUGAAGAAGGCCUUCGGGUUGUAAAGCUCUUUCGCAAGGAAAGAAAACUUAACCCUCUAAUAUAGGGUGAGGCUGACGGUACCUUGAGAAGAAGCACCGGCUAACUACGUGCCAGCAGCCGCGGUAAUACGUAGGGUGCGAGCGUUAAUCGGAAUUACUGGGCGUAAAGCGUGCGCAGGCGGUUUGAUAAGUCAGAUGUGAAAGCCCCGGGCUCAACCUGGGAACUGCGUUUGAAACUGUCAGGCUAGAGUAUGGGAGAGGGAGGUAGAAUUCCACGUGUAGCAGUGAAAUGCGUAGAGAUGUGGAGGAAUACCAAUGGCGAAGGCAGCCUCCUGGCCUAAUACUGACGCUCAUGCACGAAAGCGUGGGGAGCAAACAGGAUUAGAUACCCUGGUAGUCCACGCCCUAAACGAUGUCUACUAGUUGUUGGU